UACGUAGGGCGCAAGCGUUGUCCGGAAUUAUUGGGCGUAAAGAGCUCGUAGGCGGUUUGUCGCGUCUGCUGUGAAAACCUAAGGCUCAACCUUGGGCUUGCAGUGGGUACGGGCAGACUAGAGUGCGGUAGGGGUGACUGGAAUUCCUGGUGUAGCGGUGGAAUGCGCAGAUAUCAGGAGGAACACCGAUGGCGAAGGCAGGUCACUGGGCCGCAACUGACGCUGGAGGAGCGGAAAAGCAUGGGGAGCGAACAGG
RNAcentral lists this ribosomal RNA (256 nucleotides) under uncultured bacterium. RNAcentral's name for it is "partial 16S ribosomal RNA". It matches the Rfam family "Bacterial small subunit ribosomal RNA", at positions 524 to 776 of the family's 1533-position model. The record is from RNAcentral.